AUUGAACGCUGGCGGCAUGCCUUACACAUGCAAGUCGAACGGCAGCACGGGAGCAAUCCUGGUGGCGAGUGGCGAACGGGUGAGUAAUAUAUCGGAACGUGCCCAGUCGUGGGGGAUAACGUAGCGAAAGCUACGCUAAUACCGCAUACGAUCUAUGGAUGAAAGCGGGGGAUCGCAAGACCUCGCGCGAUUGGAGCGGCCGAUAUCAGAUUAGGUAGUUGGUGAGGUAAAGGCUCACCAAGCCGACGAUCUGUAGCUGGUCUGAGAGGACGACCAGCCACACUGGGACUGAGACACGGCCCAGACUCCUACGGGAGGCAGCAGUGGGGAAUUUUGGACAAUGGGCGCAAGCCUGAUCCAGCAAUGCCGCGUGCAGGAUGAAGGCCUUCGGGUUGUAAACUGCUUUUGUACGGAACGAAACGGUGAGCUCUAAUACAGUUUGCCAAUGACGGUACCGUAAGAAUAAGCACCGGCUAACUACGUG
RNAcentral lists this ribosomal RNA (484 nucleotides) under uncultured bacterium. RNAcentral describes it as "bacterial SSU rRNA". It matches the Rfam family "Bacterial small subunit ribosomal RNA", at positions 30 to 507 of the family's 1533-position model. The record is from RNAcentral.